This 468-nucleotide ribosomal RNA is filed under the name uncultured bacterium. RNAcentral's name for it is "partial 16S ribosomal RNA". It matches the Rfam family "Bacterial small subunit ribosomal RNA", at positions 28 to 507 of the family's 1533-position model. The record is from RNAcentral.
GACGAACGCUGGCGGCGUGCUUAACACAUGCAAGUCGAACGGUAAGGCCCUGCUUGCGUGGGGUGCUCGUGUCGCGAGCGUGUGAGAAACGCGUGUGUAAUCCGCCCUUGUCUUUGGGAUAUCUUGAGGAAACUGGGGCUUACUCCGGAUAGGAGCUCCUGCUGCAUGGGGGGGUUUGGAGAUUUUCGGCGGGUGGGGGUGGACUCGCGGCUUAUCAGCUUGUUGGUGGGGUAGUGGCCUACCAAGGCUUUGACGGGUAGCCGGCCUGAGAGGGUGACCGGCCACACUGGGACUGAGACACGGCCCAGACUCCUACGGGAGGCAGCAGUGGGGAAUAUUGCACAAUGGGCGGAAGCCUGAUGCAGCAACGCCGCGUGCGGGAUGACGGCCUUCGGGUUGUAAACCGCUUUCGGCUGUGACGAAGCAUUAGUGACGGUAAGGGCUGAAGAAGCACCGGCUAACUACGUG